UAGUCCGUAUAAAAUUUAAUAGGCAACUGC
RNAcentral lists this small RNA (30 nucleotides) under Bombyx mori (domestic silkworm). RNAcentral's name for it is "ovarian small RNA-22987". Lineage: Eukaryota; Metazoa; Arthropoda; Insecta; Lepidoptera; Bombycidae. The record is from RNAcentral.